UUAUUUUUGGUCUUUUUGUCCAUAUUUGUGAUUUCAUUAGUAUAGGGAAUUACUUGUGAGGGAACUCCCUCUACAAUGUAUAGUUUUUGUAGAAGCAUUAUUGAAGGCAAAUAGGAAUUGUCAAUAGAAUGUCCAAGUUGGAGUCAGGAAGAUCUAAAUUCAAAUCCUGCCUCAGAUGUUUACUAGCUCUGCGACCUCAGGCAAGUUGCUUAAUCUCUGUCUGACUGAGUUUCUUCACUAGCCAAAUGGAGAUAACAAAAGCCCUUGCCUCAUGAGAUUAUGGAUAUUCAAUGAGAUAAAGUAGCCUGUGAAUGUUAGCUGUUUUAUCUUACAGAUUUACCUGGGAGCACUGAGAGCUCAAGAAAUAACUUGCCCACAGCUACCGAGGUGGGACCUCCUCCCAGGUUUUCCUGAAUCUGAGUCCAGCUCUCUGCCCACUAUGUGCACUGCCUUCCAAGAUGUGUCAUUUCAUAGCAUUAGUUGAAACUAAUGAGAUCCAGAGAAAAUGGAAAAAUGAACAGAUAAGCCUUGAUGAAGAGGAAUGGCGGGUUACAAAAAUACAGAGAAUGACGUAUGGAAAAUUGGGUCCAGGUGUAGAAGAAAAUGGCCUCAGCUGUAAACUACCAUUUGUUGAGAUGCAUAAAUGAAACAAAAUAGAACAGUUUGAAACAUCUUCUCAGAACUAUGGAAGAGCAUUUGAAAAUGUGCAUCCUUGGUUCUCUUUAUUAAGAAGUUGUCGUCGUGAACACUGCUAUCGCCAAUCAACUCACUGUUCUUUGGUUGAUGCUUUGGAUGAGGGGUGGCAUGGCGGGGACUAAAAUCCAAUUCUCCCCACUCCUAGUCCAAUGUGCUUCCUUCUACCUCACGCAGCCUCCAUUGCAAGAGCAGGUGUUCAUCCAUGAGGACUGCAAUUCAUUCACCAGCCUAGAAAUUUGAUCCCCACAAAAAGUGUACAGCUGAGGUACCAAAAACUUUGGCAGUUGCCACUGCAAAUUGGGAGACCUACCCCAUGGAUUUGGGGUGGCCGGAGAAUGCACCAUCACUGCAACCUCACUAGAAAUAAAACACUUUUCAUUUGCUUAUUAACUUUAUUG
This 1094-nucleotide long non-coding RNA is filed under the name Monodelphis domestica (gray short-tailed opossum). RNAcentral describes it as "lncRNA (ENSMODG00000042125.1)". The record is from RNAcentral. Lineage: Eukaryota; Metazoa; Chordata; Mammalia; Didelphimorphia; Didelphidae.